RNAcentral lists this ribosomal RNA (470 nucleotides) under uncultured bacterium. RNAcentral describes it as "bacterial SSU rRNA". It matches the Rfam family "Bacterial small subunit ribosomal RNA", at positions 28 to 509 of the family's 1533-position model. The record is from RNAcentral.
GACGAACGCUGGCGGCGUGCUUAACACAUGCAAGUCGAACGGUAAGGCCCUUCGGGGUACACGAGUGGCGAACGGGUGAGUAACACGUGGGUGAUCUGCCCUGCACUUCGGGAUAAGCUUGGGAAACUGGGUCUAAUACCGGGUAGGACCACGGUCUGCAUGGAUUGUGGUGGAAAGCUUUUGCGGUGUGGGAUGGGCCCGCGGCCUAUCAGCUUGUUGGUGGGGUGAUGGCCUACCAAGGCGACGACGGGGUAGCCGGCCUGAGAGGGUGUCCGGCCACACUGGGACUGAGAUACGGCCCAGACUCCUACGGGAGGCAGCAGUGGGGAAUAUUGCACAAUGGGCGCAAGCCUGAUGCAGCGACGCCGCGUGGGGGGAUGACGGCCUCGGGUUGGUAAACCUACUUUCACGUAGGGACGAAGCGUAAGUGACGGUACCGUAUAGAAGAAGCACCGGCCAACUAACGUGCC